CAGCAAUUUAUGUCUCUUUACCUCAACCUUUACCCCUCCAUAUUCCUUCUUAAGUACUGACACGAAUGUGAUAAAUUCUUUUAAAGAAGUUUCAUGACCAUGAAAAGGUGAAAAGAGAGAUAGCAGCUUACCAAGAAGAAAGGAAGCAUAUGGAAUAGAGGCCAAAGGUAUGAACACCUGCUCCUGACACUU
RNAcentral lists this long non-coding RNA (192 nucleotides) under Chinchilla lanigera (long-tailed chinchilla). Its description in RNAcentral is "ZFAT antisense RNA 1 conserved region 2 (ENSCLAG00000019198.1)". It matches the Rfam family "ZFAT antisense RNA 1 conserved region 2". Lineage: Eukaryota; Metazoa; Chordata; Mammalia; Rodentia; Chinchillidae. The record is from RNAcentral.